UACGUAGGUGGCGAGCGUUGUCCGGAAUUACUGGGUGUAAAGGGCGUGUAGGCGGGAAUGUAAGUCAGAUGUGAAAUUCCGGGGCUCAACCCCGGCGCUGCAUCUGAAACUAUGUUUCUUGAGUGCUGGAGAGGAAAGCGGAAUUCCUAGUGUAGCGGUGAAAUGCGUAGAUAUUAGGAGGAACACCAGUGGCGAAGGCGGCUUUCUGGACAGUAACUGACGCUGAGGCGCGAAAGCGUGGGGAGCAAACAGG
Molecule: ribosomal RNA, 253 nt
Filed under: uncultured bacterium
Lineage: Bacteria
Description: partial 16S ribosomal RNA
Rfam family: Bacterial small subunit ribosomal RNA
Source: RNAcentral